GAUGAACGCUAGCUACAGGCUUAACACAUGCAAGUCGAGGGGCAGCAUUUCAGUUUGCUUGCAAACUGGAGAUGGCGACCGGCGCACGGGUGAGUAACACGUAUCCAACCUGCCGAUAACUCGGGGAUAGCCUUUCGAAAGAAAGAUUAAUGCCCGAUGGCAUAAUUAGACCGCAUGGUCUUAUUAUUAAAGAAUUUCGGUUAUCGAUGGGGAUGCGUUCCAUUAGGCAGUUGGUGAGGUAACGGCUCACCAAACCUUCGAUGGAUAGGGGUUCUGAGAGGAAGGUCCCCCACAUUGGAACUGAGACACGGUCCAAACUCCUACGGGAGGCAGCAGUGAGGAAUAUUGGUCAAUGGGCGCAGGCCUGAACCAGCCAAGUAGCGUGAAGGAUGACUGCCCUAUGGGUUGUAAACUUCUUUUAUAUGGGAAUAAAGUUUUCCACGUGUGGAAUUUUGUAUGUACCAUAUGAAUAAGGAUCGGCUAACUCCGUGCCAGCAGCCGCGGUAAUACGGAGGAUCCGAGCGUUAUCCGGAUUUAUUGGGUUUAAAGGGAGCGUAGGUGGACAGUUAAGUCAGUUGUGAAAGUUUGCGGCUCAACCGUAAAAUUGCAGUUGAUACUGGCUGUCUUGAGUACAGUAGAGGUGGGCGGAAUUCGUGGUGUAGCGGUGAAAUGCUUAGAUAUCACGAAGAACUCCGAUUGCGAAGGCAGCUCACUGGACUGCAACUGACACUGAUGCUCGAAAGUGUGGGUAUCAAACAGGAUUAGAUACCCUGGUAGUCCACACAGUAAACGAUGAAUACUCGCUGUUUGCGAUAUACAGUAAGCGGCCAAGCGAAAGCAUUAAGUAUUCCACCUGGGGAGUACGCCGGCAACGGUGAAACUCAAAGGAAUUGACGGGGGCCCGCACAAGCGGAGGAACAUGUGGUUUAAUUCGAUGAUACGCGAGGAACCUUACCCGGGCUUAAAUUGCAUUUGAAUAUAUUGGAAACAGUAUAGCCGUAAGGCAAAUGUGAAGGUGCUGCAUGGUUGUCGUCAGCUCGUGCCGUGAGGUGUCGGCUUAAGUGCCAUAACGAGCGCAACCCUUAUCUUUAGUUACUAACAGGUCAUGCUGAGGACUCUAGAGAGACUGCCGUCGUAAGAUGUGAGGAAGGUGGGGAUGACGUCAAAUCAGCACGGCCCUUACGUCCGGGGCUACACACGUGUUACAAUGGGGGGUACAGAAGGCAGCUACCUGGUGACAGGAUGCUAAUCCCAAAAGCCUCUCUCAGUUCGGAUCGAAGUCUGCAACCCGACUUCGUGAAGCUGGAUUCGCUAGUAAUCGCGCAUCAGCCAUGGCGCGGUGAAUACGUUCCCGGGCCU
This 1359-nucleotide ribosomal RNA is filed under the name uncultured bacterium. RNAcentral's name for it is "bacterial SSU rRNA". It matches the Rfam family "Bacterial small subunit ribosomal RNA", at positions 28 to 1381 of the family's 1533-position model. The record is from RNAcentral.